UGGACGGAUGCUCAUUGGCAGGGCGCUUAGCUGUUAACUAAGAAUGUGUAGGUUCGAGUCCUGCCUGUCCAG
This 72-nucleotide transfer RNA is filed under the name Asterorhombus intermedius (intermediate flounder). RNAcentral's name for it is "tRNA-Asn". It matches the Rfam family "tRNA". Rfam says of the family: Transfer RNA (tRNA) molecules are approximately 80 nucleotides in length. Their secondary structure includes four short double-helical elements and three loops (D, anti-codon, and T loops). Lineage: Eukaryota; Metazoa; Chordata; Actinopteri; Pleuronectiformes; Bothidae. The record is from RNAcentral.